GAUGAACGCUGACAGAAUGCUUAACACAUGCAAGUCUUUGGCGAAGCUGUGCUUGCACAGCCUAGCCAAGGCGGACGGGUGAGUAACGCGUAAGGAACUUGCCCUGCAGUCAGGGAUAACAGACGGAAACGACUGAUAAGACCUGGUAAAGUCAGGCGGACUCAUGUCCAGCCUGAUGAAAAGAGAUGCUGCAGGAGAGCCUUGCGUCCUAUUAGCUUGUUGGUGGGGUAACGGCCCACCAAGGCGAUGAUAGGUAGCCGGCCUGAGAGGGUGGACGGCCACAAGGGGACUGAGAUACGGCCCUUACUCCUACGGGAGGCAGCAGUGGGGAAUAUUGGACAAUGGGGGCAACCCUGAUCCAGCAAUUCUGUGUGCACGAUGAAGGUUUUCGGAUUGUAAAGUGCUUUCAGCAGGGAAGAAAAAAAUGACGGUACCUGCAGAAGAAGCGACGGCUAAAUACGUGCCAGCAGCCGCGGUAAUACGUAUGUCGCAAGCGUUAUCCGGAAUUAUUGGGCAUAAAGGGCAUCUAGGCGGCCAGAUAAGUCUGGGGUGAAAACCUGCAGCUCAACCGCAAGCCUGCCCUGGAAACUAUGUGGCUAGAGUACUGGAGAGGUGGACGGAACUGCACGAGUAGAGGUGAAAUUCGUAGAUAUGUGCAGGAAUGCCGAUGAUGAAGAUAGUUCACUGGACGGUAACUGACGCUGAAGUGCGAAAGCUAGGGGAGCAAACAGG
Molecule: ribosomal RNA, 732 nt
Filed under: uncultured Leptotrichia sp.
Lineage: Bacteria; Fusobacteriati; Fusobacteriota; Fusobacteriia; Fusobacteriales; Leptotrichiaceae
Description: bacterial SSU rRNA
Rfam family: Bacterial small subunit ribosomal RNA
Source: RNAcentral